This is a long non-coding RNA of Quercus lobata, 569 nucleotides long. RefSeq lists it as uncharacterized. The record is from RefSeq and is a predicted model, not a curated record. Lineage: Eukaryota; Viridiplantae; Streptophyta; Magnoliopsida; Fagales; Fagaceae. The transcript has 3 exons.
GAUCCAUUUCGGAGUUCACUCUCCCCACUUAUGGUUCAAAAUCUGGUUUGUGCACAAGACUGGCUUCAAGCCUUGGUUCCAAUUUCUUUUCGCAAAUCAAAAGAUGAGGUAGAGGUCUUGGAAGAUGAAUUUCAUGAUUUAGUUAUACGUCAAGCAGCAAGAGGUGGUGGAAGUUCAAGCUCAAGCAAAGGUAUCUCAAUUAACAUUGAUGACUAAUCAAAAACUGGGAGGAAGGACACACAUUUUGUAUAGGAGGCAGAUUUUUGGAUGCAAUUUGAAAGUUUUUUUGGACACUGCUUUUCUAACUGAUAAUUGAUAAAUUAACUCUUGCUUAUAGGAAAGAAAACUUAUUAAGUUUAAUAGGCUUUCUUUUCUAUAAGUCAUGGACUAAACUCUAUAUAGUAGUUGCUCUUUAAAUGUUUUAGAAAAGCUAUUUUUUGGAAGUUUGUAACUAAGUAUAGCUAGCUACUGCUUUACACACUUUCUGCCUUCUUUAACUCUAUGGAAAUAUUGCAAGAGAUGCUCUUAUUAUCUUUUGUUACCACACUUGUGAUGUGGUUGUGAUUGAA